This 85-nucleotide transfer RNA is filed under the name Felis catus (domestic cat). It matches the Rfam family "tRNA". Rfam says of the family: Transfer RNA (tRNA) molecules are approximately 80 nucleotides in length. Their secondary structure includes four short double-helical elements and three loops (D, anti-codon, and T loops). Further hydrogen bonds mediate the characteristic L-shaped molecular structure. tRNAs have two regions of fundamental functional importance: the anti-codon, which is responsible for specific mRNA codon recognition, and the 3' end, to which the tRNAs corresponding amino acid is attached (by aminoacyl-tRNA synthetases). tRNAs cope with the degeneracy of the genetic code in two manners: having more than one tRNA (with a specific anti-codon) for a particular amino acid; and 'wobble' base-pairing, i.e. permitting non-standard base-pairing at the 3rd anti-codon position. Lineage: Eukaryota; Metazoa; Chordata; Mammalia; Carnivora; Felidae. The record is from Rfam by way of RNAcentral.
GCCUGGGUGGCUCAGUCGGUCAAGCAUCCGACUUCGGCUCAGGUCAUGAUCUCGCAGUUUGUGGGUUCGAGCCCCACAUCAGGCU